GUGGGUAUGGCGAAGUUGGUUAUCGCGCCAGAUUGUGGCUCUGGAGGCCGAGGGUUCGAAUCCCUCUACUCACCCUA
RNAcentral lists this transfer RNA (77 nucleotides) under Clostridium sp. CAG:7. Its description in RNAcentral is "transfer RNA-His(GTG)". It matches the Rfam family "tRNA". Rfam says of the family: Transfer RNA (tRNA) molecules are approximately 80 nucleotides in length. Their secondary structure includes four short double-helical elements and three loops (D, anti-codon, and T loops). Lineage: Bacteria; Bacillati; Bacillota; Clostridia; Eubacteriales; Clostridiaceae. The record is from RNAcentral. RNAcentral also lists the same sequence under 5 other names.